RNAcentral lists this transfer RNA (73 nucleotides) under Akkermansiaceae bacterium. RNAcentral describes it as "tRNA-Ile". It matches the Rfam family "tRNA". Rfam says of the family: Transfer RNA (tRNA) molecules are approximately 80 nucleotides in length. Their secondary structure includes four short double-helical elements and three loops (D, anti-codon, and T loops). Further hydrogen bonds mediate the characteristic L-shaped molecular structure. tRNAs have two regions of fundamental functional importance: the anti-codon, which is responsible for specific mRNA codon recognition, and the 3' end, to which the tRNAs corresponding amino acid is attached (by aminoacyl-tRNA synthetases). tRNAs cope with the degeneracy of the genetic code in two manners: having more than one tRNA (with a specific anti-codon) for a particular amino acid; and 'wobble' base-pairing, i.e. permitting non-standard base-pairing at the 3rd anti-codon position. The record is from RNAcentral. Lineage: Bacteria; Pseudomonadati; Verrucomicrobiota; Verrucomicrobiia; Verrucomicrobiales; Akkermansiaceae.
GGGGCUGUAGCUCAGCGGUUAGAGCAGGGGACUCAUAAUCCUUUGGUCGUGGGUUCAAACCCCACCGGCCCUA